CAGUAGCCGCGGUAAUACAGAGGGUGCGAGCGUUAAUCGGAUUUACUGGGCGUAAAGCGUGCGUAGGCGGCUUCUUAAGUCGGAUGUGAAAUCCCUGAGCUUAACUUAGGAAUUGCAUUCGAUACUGGGAAGCUAGAGUAUGGGAGAGGAUGGUAGAAUUCCAGGUGUAGCGGUGAAAUGCGUAGAGAUCGGAAGGAACAUCUGUGGCGAAGGCGACUAUCUGGGCCAACACUGACACUGAGGCACGAAAGCGUGGGGAGCAAACAGGAUUAGAUACCCCAGUAGUCCAUGUCUCUUAUAC
RNAcentral lists this ribosomal RNA (301 nucleotides) under uncultured bacterium. Its description in RNAcentral is "partial 16S ribosomal RNA". It matches the Rfam family "Bacterial small subunit ribosomal RNA", at positions 509 to 807 of the family's 1533-position model. The record is from RNAcentral.